This 1108-nucleotide long non-coding RNA is filed under the name Struthio camelus australis. RNAcentral's name for it is "lncRNA (ENSSCUG00000007540.1)". Lineage: Eukaryota; Metazoa; Chordata; Aves; Struthioniformes; Struthionidae. The record is from RNAcentral.
GAAACACGAAGUCAUGCCUGAAGAACAGUUAUCUCUUUUCCAGAAUGCUAACAUAAUUCCUAGAGCACAAAGAACAAAAGCUUUCUUCUGACAGGGUCUGUAGGUACAUUUUGCAGGGAUCAUGAGACAGGGGAAUCUAUCCCAUUUAGGUGGCUGGCAGUUGAAAGGGAGCUACUCUGAGUGGCGCAAGGUCCAUGGAUCAACGAGCUUCAGCACUGGAAACGUAGUCAUUUGAUGACUGGAGAGAACAUCAUUGAAGGAAAUCGCUAUAACCCAAAUUGCCAAUGCACAGAUGCCUUAUAACUUUGGACCACUGUGAAGGAACAGAAACGCAAGCCAUGCCAUCAAGAACAUACAAGUUUGUUUGAGAAAGACCUACUACCCUCUAAUAGCAUGUGGAAAAAAAGAACCCGUCUUUCCAUCUCCAUGGUAACUUAUUUCUUACAAGCACUUUUAAUGCAAUUUGUUUUCUGUUCUUGUAGCUUCUUUACUGGUUUUAGAAUAGAUCAGUCAAGGCUGAAGUGCUGGUAACAAACCAGAAGAGAAACUAUGUCUUUGGCUACAGGUGACGAGUUGAAUUUUUGUCCCCUCCAAGGAGGUACCUGUGUUAUCAUCACUAAGCUGAAUAUAUGCUGAAUGAUCGUUGACCUCUGCAGAAAGCAAAGGCAAAUUACCUCCAGAAGACUGCAAAAGGGGAUCGACGUUGCUCCAGCCUCUCUCCUUGCAGAUGGUGGCCUUCUCACCGCAUUACUGUCCACAUCGGCUACACCAGCCUGACCUGCACUACACAGCCUUGUGCAACAAGCCAGCCGGAUCCCAUACGUCAGCUGGGCACUAUGCAGGAGGGUGCUGACGGAGAGCCACGCGGAGCAGAGGAUGCUCGCGGGUCAUGGGUGCUGUUCCACCUGCUGUACGUACAGAGAUCCAGGCUUUCCUGGCACCUGAAAACAAAGGGCUGCUUUGAAAACUAACCCUAAAACUCAGAUCUUGAUCCUUUCUGCUCAUUACAACAUCCACUGGGGUGGAUGGGGUGGAAAAACAGGAGUGUUGAUACUAGUCUUCCUAGCUAAGUGUAAUAAAUGUAGUCCAUCCCCAGUGGCCUUUCCCA